GUUAAAAAGCUCGUAGUUGGAUGUUGUGGUUUGUUAAAUUCGAUGCCUUUUGGUAUUCGUUUUAGCAGCCACUUUUUCUCGAGGCAUAUAGGUGCACUUAACCGUGUGUUUAUAUUGUUCGGGACUUUUACCGUGAGAAAAUUAGAGUGUUCAUAGCAGGCUAGUGCUUGAAUAUUACAGCAUGGAAUAAUGGAAUAGGAUCAUGAUCUUAUUUUGUUGGUUUCUAAGAUCAAGAUAAUGAUUAAUAGGGAUAGUUGGGGGCAUUAAUAUUUAGUUGUCAGAGGUGAAAUUCUUAGAUUUACAAAAGAUUAACUUCUGCGAAAGCAUUUGCCAAGGAUGUUUUCGUUAAUCAAGAACGAAAGUUGAGGGAUCGAAGAUGAUCAGAUACCGUCGUAAGUCUCAACCAUAAACUAUGCCGACUAGGGAUUGGUGGUCGUUAAUUAAUGUCACCAUCAGCACCUUAUGAGAAAAUCAAAGUUUUUGGGUUCUGGGGGGAGUAUGGUC
Molecule: ribosomal RNA, 504 nt
Filed under: uncultured marine eukaryote
Lineage: Eukaryota
Description: SSU rRNA
Rfam family: Eukaryotic small subunit ribosomal RNA
Source: RNAcentral